This is an RNA transcript of Pongo pygmaeus (Bornean orangutan), 7454 nucleotides long. It is a transcript of the gene named TIR domain containing adaptor protein, with no coding region annotated. The record is from RefSeq and is a predicted model, not a curated record. The transcript has 4 exons. NCBI's taxonomy places the organism in Eukaryota, Metazoa, Chordata, Mammalia, Primates, Hominidae.
UCCCACAGUCCCAGGUGUGAACACAGGGGCCCACCCUAGGUCUGCACCAUAGUCUACAAACCUCUUUGAGAACACUGUAUUGUGUCUAUCAAGCUAUAAAUGAAUUAUAUUCAGGACUUUAAGUGACAUUGUCCUGCAAACCAUAAUUAAUCCUACCUAAAUGUUUUAGCAAGUGUUUGAGAACAAAACAGCCUUUGAAACCAAAAUUAUUUUAAAUGUAAAGUCAAAGUGAGGUAAAGUGUAGAUGGUAAUUUAUUUAUUUAAAGAUGUAAAAACUAUUUCAAACAAUUUGAACCUUUAAACAGACCAGUUUUUAGCACUCAACUGAAAUCCAAUACUUUCUCCAUUCAUUGGCCUGAUCUAAUCAGACAUAGUGUAGUAGUUUCCUAUUGCUGCUGUAACAAAUUGCCACAAACUUAGUGGCCUCAAGCAACACACAUUGAUUAUCCUACCGUUCUAAGAUGGAUCAGCGAGGUCGUGCUCCUUCUGAAGGCUCCAGGAAAGAACCCAUGGACUUGUCUUUUCCAGCUUCUAGAGGCCACCUGCAUCCCACUGGCACCUGCUUCCCUUGGCACAGCUCUUUUGUCUGCCUCAGACCUUCCUACCUCCCUCUUGAAAGGAUCUUUGUGGUUACAUUAGGCUCACCUGGGUAAUCCAGGCAUCCCUCCCCAUCACAAGGUUCUUAAUCACAGCUGCCAAAUCCCCUUUUGCCAUGGAAGGUAACAUAUUCUCAGUUCCAGGGAUUAGGAUGUGGGCCUCUUUGUGGGCCACUAUUCUGUCUACCCCAGAUAGUGAUUCCUGCUUAACAGAAAUCGAAUAUGAACUCUAGGAGAUACAUAUUCUAAUUAUAUGCCUUCACAGGCUCCAGUACAUUCCCUAUAUAAUAGAAAUUGGAGACCAGUUUGAUAUUGGAUACUAAAUACACUUUGGAUUUUUUUUUUUUGAGACUUGAGUCUUGCUCUGUUGCCCAGGCUGGAGUGUAGUGACAUGAUCUCAGCUCACUGCAACCCCACCUCCCGGGUUCAAGCGAUUCUCCUGCCUCAGCCUCCUUAGUAGCUGGGAUUACAGGCACGCACCACCACGCUUAGCUAAUUUUUGUAUUUUUAGUAGAGACAGGGUUUCACCAUGUUGGCCAGGCUGAUCUCAAAUUCCUGACCUCAUGAUCCACCCACCUUGGCCUCCCAAAGUGCUGGGAUUACAGGCAUGAGCCACUGUGCCCGGCCCACUUUGGAUUUUAUACAGCAAAACUCCAUAAUGUUUUCUUUACAUCAAUUUCUGCACAUAAUAUUGGAAAAGCAUUCUAGAAAGCGCUAAAGGUAUUGUGCUACUUCUUUUCUGAAGAAAUCCUUUACUAAUUUUCUUUUCUUUAUUUUUUUGAGAUCGAGUCUCGCUCUGUCACCCAGGCUGGAGCGCAGUGGUGCGAUCUUGGCUCACUGCAGCCUCUGCCUCCCAGGUUCAAGGGAUUCUCCAGCCUCAGCCACCCAAGUAGCUAGGAUUACAGGUGUGCGACAUCAUGCCUGGCUAAUUUUUGUAUUUUUAGUAGAGACAGGGUUUUGACGUGUCGGCCAGGCUGGUCUUGAACUCCUGAGCUCACAUGAUCUGCCCACCUCGGCCUCCCAAAGUGCUGGGAUUACAGGGGAGCACCAGCACACCCGGCUAAAUUUUGUAUUUUUAGUAGAGAAGGGGUUUCGACAGGCUGGUCUGGAACUCCUGAGCUUACAUGAUCUGCCCACCUCAGCCUCCCAAAGUGCUGGGAUUACAGGCAUGAGCCACUGAGCCCAUCCCCUUUACUAAUUUUCUAUCAAGUCAUAGUUCUUACAAAGUGGGUAUUUUUGGUAUGAUUCUACUUUAUGAAUUUUUUCAAAGCACAAAGAAAGCGACUGUGUAUUAGACCACACAGCAAAUCAGAGAAUAGGCAGAGCUAGUGAGUACAGCUUCCAGUUGGAGAUUUGGGUUCAUUACCUUACCUACUUGUCAACCACAUCUCAAGAUAUGAUGACAGUUACCAGGUCUUGGAAAGAUUAACACGUGUUUGAAUGUCUGACAGUUCCACAGCUCCAGCUACAAAAGAACUGAAAAGGAACAGGGAAGGUGUGUGGCGUCUUGGAUUCCAGGAAGUAGGCAGUGUGUAUGGUUACUGGAAUUUACCUGCCAUCUUGCUCAAUUAUCCUGUCAAAGGUGCUGUUAUUUUUCUCUUUAAAACGUUUCCAUGUUUCUCAUGAGGGCUUAUACCACCCCACUUCUAGUGGCAUAUACUGCUGGACAACUGGAUUUCUUCUUAACCAAGCAACGGACAAGCAGUUUCCCCCAAUCAGCAUGUGUUGCCAAAAGGGCAAGUCAUUUCAUAAAAUGAGAAACUAAAACUUUUAAAUCUACAUAUAUUAAGUAGAUUAACAUAUUAUGUUAAUUUUUAACCUUUAGAAUAUUUAAAAAUCAAAUGAUGCUCUAGUUUACAAGUGCACCAAGGCCAAAUAAUUAAUAUUAAAAUUAAAACAGAAUUGAAAAAAUAUUUAAAUAAUGCAAAAACCAAGUGACAUCAUGUUUACUACUGGGGGCAAAAAGGCAUCCUGAACGGCCCUAGCUGCAGCCUGCCACUUAGGCUGUCUGAAAUCCCAAGCAUAUUAGGAAAGAAAAGAAACUCAUAUACAUACUCAUAGUCAACUUCCAGUGCCUUUUUGGUGGCUUCACAUUUAGCUGUGUUGCUUUUUCAGAUGUCUUCUCUGGUUCCUGUACCCAUUCCAACUCUUUGCUCUGCCUCCUUUGCUGCUAUGGUUUAAGUUCUACUUCUUUUUUGAACUUUGAUAUAUGAUCACAAAUCCUCAGCAUCCCUUGUCUUCUGCGCAUCAGUGAACAAAGCAUUAAUGUGCAGCAUAGAAUGACAUUCUUUAAUUUUUUUUUUUUUUCUUUUUUUGAGACGAAGUUUCGCUCUUGUUGCCCAGGCUGGAGUGCAGUGGUAUAAUCUCAGCUCACUGCAACCUCUGCCUCCAGGUUCAAGAGAUUCUUCUGCCUCAGCCUCCCAAGUAGCUGGGAUUAUAGGCGCCCGCCACCAUGCCCAGCUAAUUUUUAUAUUUUCAGGAGAGAGAGGGGUUUUACCAUGUUGGCCAGGCUAGGCUUGAACUCCUGACCUCAGGUGAUCCGCCACCUUGGCCUCCCAAAGCUAGGAUUACAGGCGUGAGCCAUUGUGCCUGGCCACAUUCUGUAAAUUUUGCAACCUUUUAUUUUAGUGUGUCUAAUAAUACUUGCUUCCAUGAGUUCUCAGGUUUGUUUUGAUCUCACAGAUCCACCAAAGAGAAAGCAGCCCUGUGCCAGUUGCUCUGCCAGCCUUUCACAGGAGAAGUGUCACUAGAAUACUACAGCCCCCGCAGGCUCUGCUCCACAGAAACUUAAGGCUGAAAGAGUGUCCACCAUCAGGGACAUCCUCUGUCACUACGGUGGGAAGACAACAUGGCAGGUUGCCUUUCCAAGGCAUUCUUGGGCCUUUGUAUUUCCAUAUAAAUUUAGAAGCAGUCUGACAACCUCCCCACCAAAAAACCUAAAAACCAAAAAUCUUCUAGACUUUGGAACAGCACUGAAUUAACGAUCCGUUUGGGAAACAUUAACAUUACAAGUUUUAUAAACCAUGAACAUAAUAUAUCCCUCCAAUAGCUAGAUUAUUUUAUAUACAUAGCCCACAUUUUCUAAGCAUUUAUUACAUGCCACACACCACUAAGACUUUACAUAAAUUAUUUCAUUUAAUCUUCACAAUAAUGCUGAGAAGGAGGCUCUAGUAUUUCCAUCUCACGGAUGGAGAAACUGGAGUUUAGCAAGGUGACCAAAGGCCACGGUUAACCAGAGAUGAGAAUCAGGCACUCUACCUGCAAUCUGCAGUCUUUACCACUUUUUGACAUGACCUUCCUGAGCUGACGGCUGCAGAAGCGAUGGGUCUAUGGUUGGAGUUAUUCAGGAGGAGGCAGACUUGGAGGAAAAGUCUCCCAAGAGUUCCUGCGUGUGCUAUCUUUCUACCGUUCAGCUUCUGUCUAUCUGGAUACAUAAUUAUUUGUCCAAAUAGCAACUGUCCUUCUUCUGCCAUUUCAGGCCUUACAUAGGAAGUCCUUCUAAAGAGCUGCCUGCCAGCUGCCCUUCCCCAGAUCCCGAAUAUCCUCCUGACCAGGUGGAGCAGAGAACAGUCCCUCAGCUGGUCAUGCUGAGCUCAUACCCUGAUGGCUGCUCCAUGAGGUCAAGACUGGGUCUCCUCCCUCCUCCCCCUUCACCAAUGCCUGGUCUCACGGGGCUAGUUUUGACCCCCACGCUAUGGCAUCAUCGACCUCCCUCCCAGCUCCUGGCUCUCGGCCUAAGAAGCCUCUAGGCAAGAUGGCUGACUGGUUCAGGCAGACCCUGCUGAAGAAGCCCAAGAAGAGGCCCAACUCCCCAGAAAGCGCCUCCAGUGAUGCUUCACAGCCUACCUCACAGGACAGCCCGCUACCCUCAAGCCUCAGCUCAGUCACGUCUCCCAGCCUGCCACCCACACACGCGAGUGACAGCAGCAGUAGUCGCUGGAGCAAAGACUAUGACGUCUGCGUGUGCCACAGUGAGGAAGACCUGGUGGCCGCCCAGGACCUGGUCUCCUACUUGGAAGACAGUACUGCCAGCCUGCGCUGCUUCCUGCAACUCCGGGAUGCGACCCCAGGUGGCGCUAUCAUGUCUGAGCUGUGCCAGGCACUGAGCAGUAGUCACUGCCGGGUGCUGCUCAUCACGCCAGGCUUCCUUCAGGACCCCUGGUGCAAGUACCAGAUGCUGCAGGCCCUGACCGAGGCCCCAGGGGCUGAGGGCUGCACCAUCCCCCUGCUGUCAGGCCUCAGCAGAGCUGCCUACCCACCUGAGCUCCGAUUCAUGUACUACGUUGAUGGCAGGGGCCCUGAUGGUGGCUUUCGUCAAGUCAAAGAAGCUGUCAUGCGUUGUAAGCUACUACAGGAGGGAGAAGGGGAAUGGGAUUCAGCUACAGUAUCUGAUCUACUUUGACUUUUAGGAGACAGCCCUGUAGCCUGGUAGUUCAAAGUGCAGCUUCUGGAAAAGGCUGUUGGGAUCUGCAGACACUCAGCUGACACGUGUUAUAUCAUGGGACCCUGGAAGUUGGAGUAAAGCUGGAAACAGAAAACCCAUGCAGGGCCUUGGAUUCCCACAGAUGUGACAAGAGAUAUAGGGAGUGAGUUGCAGCGCUUUGCUCGUGACCCUGGGAUCAGAGCACCCAUCAGGCUUCCAUUACUGUGGGCUCCCUAAGGAGACCAUGGAGAGGUUGGGGACUCCCCCAGGAAGGCCGUGAAGCUGGGGAUUCCCCCGAGGAAAGCCAUGAGGAAGCUGGGGACUCCCCAAGAAGGCCAUGAGGAAGCCAGAAAUUGGAGGUAGUAGGAGGUGGUACUGAUCAGUGAUGGCCAGCAGGGCUCAUCUCCUGCCUAACUGGACAGGAAGCCUGGCACCCACUUCUGUCUUCCCCUGGAACUGGGCACUGGCGUACACUGGUAUCCCUCCUAAAGAGGUGACUCACCUGACUGAUCAGCAAGAAGCCUAGAUUGCAGGCCUCACCAUGGAUGGUCUUCCCAGUUGCCUGGGGAAAUCCCGGAAUGGGAGCCAGGAGAAAGCAACAAGAAUCCAGUCCUUCACACUCACACUACUCUGUUCCUCUUCCCAGAGACAUCGAUUCACUUCAGAAAGCUGUAGGGAAGAUGCAGUCAGCACUGCACUGUAUUUUUUAUUUAUUGCCUAAGUGCCAUUAAAGACACAAACCUAGAAGCCUAGAAGCCAUCUGAAUAUGGGGGUGGGGUGGUGGACGGAACAAGUGAAGAGAUGGGAAGCCAGGGCUCAGGGUUCAACGCCUUCACCUGAGAUCACAAGCCUAUGGAUGCUGUGACAUCUGGGAGCUUCAUCAGUGGUCUGGCUAAAGCUGAUACUUUCACAGUCACCAUCAUCACCUUUGGACUGGGAAGAAUCAGCAUUUUUCUUCUGGCAGACGACUGUAUUCCUUAUAGGACAGGCAAGGUUUCAUUCAUCUGUUCUCAGUAAGUUUGUUGUUGAACUGAAAUGAAUUUCAUUAUUUCCUCCAGUGUGUACUUUUGUGCCCCCCUCUCACUUCUCCCUAUCAUGACCCCUCUUUUGCUGAAAAAAAGUUUUAUUAUUUUUUCUAUCUCUAGUUCUAGAAAGAGAAAAUUUAUUUUUUAAAUUAUAAAUUAUUUUGCCGGGCGCCAUGGCUCACACCUGUAAUCUCAGCACUUUGGGAGGCCGAGGCGGGUGGAUCACCUGAGGUCAGGAGUUCAAGACCAGCCUGGCCAAUAUGGUGAAACCCCGUCUCCACUAAAAAAAAAAAUCAGCUGGGUAUGGCGGCAGGUGCCUGUAAUCUCAACUACUCAGGAGGUUGAGGCAGGAGAAUUGCUUGAACCUGGGAGGUGGAGAUUGCAGUGAGCCGAAAUCACGCCACUGCACUCCAGCCUGGGCAACUGAGCGAGACUCUGUCUCAAAAAAAAAGUCCGGGCAUGGUGGCUCAUGCCUGUAAUCCCAGUACUUUGGGAGGCCGAGGUGGGCAGAACACAAGGUCAAGAGAUCGAGACCAUCCUGGCCAACAUGGUGAAACCCCGUCUCUACUAAAAAUACAAAAAUUAGCUGGGCGUGGUGGCGUGGGCCUGUAGUCCCAGCUACUCGGGAGGCUGAGGCAGUAGAAUUGCUUGAACCUGGGAGGGGGAGGUUGCAGUGAGCCGAUAUCACACCACCGCACUCCAGCCUGGGCGACAGAGUAAGACUCCAUCUCAAAAAAAAAGAAAAAAAAAUUAUUUUAUUAUGCACAAAAGGAUUAACAAAUAAUAUGUCCACUCAUGUGCCUGCCACCCAAUUUAAGAAGCAAAACCUUAUCAUCCCUUAUAGUGGUCCCUUUGUGCCCUGAAUUGCAGUCUCCCCUUCCCCCACCAGAAAUAACCAGUAUUUUGAAUUUUGAACUUCUUGCUUUUAGCUUUUCUCUAUACAUUUACUAUAUAUGUAUGCACCUCCACCAGCAUACUGUGUAGUUUUACAUGGUUUUGUAUUUUAUGUAAACAGCGUUACAGUGUUUGUAUUCUGCAGAUUCCUUUCCUUGUUCACCAUAUGUGAGAUUUAUCCAUGCGGAUGGAUGACAUGCCACUUAUUAAUAAUACACUUUCAUCCCACGAUGUAAAUAUGCCACCAUUUAGUUACACAUUCUUCUCCAAAUGGAUAUUUGGUGUUCCUAGGUUUUUGCUAUUAAAAACAAUGAGCCGCUGAACUUUUUUGUACAUUUUCACAAGCAAGAUUUUCUAGGAUUUAGCCUAGAAAAUCCUGCUGGGGCUGGGCGUGGUGGCUCAUGCCUGUAAUCCUGGCACUUCGGGAGGCCGAGGCGGGCGCAUCACUUGAGGUCAGGAGUUUGAGACCAGCCUGGCCAACAUGGUGAAACCCUGUCUUUACUAAAAAUACAAAAA